Molecule: small RNA, 2233 nt
Filed under: Rattus norvegicus (Norway rat)
Lineage: Eukaryota; Metazoa; Chordata; Mammalia; Rodentia; Muridae
Description: uncharacterized LOC103691168
Source: RNAcentral
ACAUCUUGAGACUUUUGGUCCAGGCCAAUGGAGCACCAGAACUGUAAAAGGAAUGAAGCCAGUGAGAACUCUGGAGACAAGCAACACCCAUGUCUCCUGGGGUUUUACAAAAGUCACUCAGGCUAGUUGUCUUCUGUCCCAGAAGCUAACACCCCAUUACAGACACUCCAUACAUGUCUGGAAGCUAGCCAACCUCCUCCAGUGUUCUCAGACACAUUUGUUUCUACAGCAGCUCUUUUCUCAGGCUAUGGUCCACUCACCAGUGAGUGGCUUACCCCUGCCUUGUACUUUCAUAGCCCUUGGGCACUCGUCCCUGUGUUCAGCAACCCCAUGGCAUGGGAGACACAGUUUCUGAGACACCCAUCUUAUCAGGACUCAUUGAAUUGCAAAGAAAAGAAACUCCCUCCCAAACUAGCUUGAUCGGUAGUGUGUUUAACUGAAGGACUACGGGAUCCUCUGGGAAGCACUGAACAGGAAGGAAAACUUCCUUCCUUCCUACCACCGUCACGGGAUCUGGAAGGAUGCUCCAGGUUUUCCCUCCUUAGCUCCCAUUUCUGAGUGAUACCUUUGUUCCCAAGACCCCAUCCAAAUUCUGUGGUUCCAGCUCAUCCAUCCAUCAUUCAGGCCUUCCACAGUCUUCCUGGGGUUAGGCCGGCUGGCUCAGACUCUUGGGUGCUUCCCUCCUCAACCUUACAACUCACCAGCUCAUCUUCAUGUGCGAGUUGAUUUGAAGGAGGAACUGAGCAGGUCAGGGCUAAUCCCGCUCUAAUCCAGGCCACUCCUGGUCUAAUCAACAGAAACAGGGGUCUGUUCCAGGGACUCCAAGUCCUAGCUGAAUGAUCAAGUUGUGCAUGGGGUGGGGGAGCCACAGAUGCAACUUCAUUCACACAGCCACAGCAGCCAGACCCUAGGUCUCUAAAAUUUCACUUAGCCUCCGAGAAACACCUUAACAGAAAAUGAGAGUAAGUCCUAUUUCCCGAAGGGAAAUAAUAAGCCCCAGGAAAGUAGCCUGAGGCAUGUCGGGAGGAAAAUAGCCCGAGGCAUGUCGGGAAUGCACCUGGGUCGCCUUGGAAGUGAACCGCCACAUUUCACUCUAUCCUGGGUGGACAAGUGUUAGUUACUUCCAGAAACUGGAGAGCAGAUGCUUGGAAAGUGAAGACGACAUGUUCACGGUGCCAAGUCACACGAGGUUGGGACUUUUGUAAAAGUACAUUUCCAACGUAGACGUAAAGCCUAGGAACCACUUCAAUCAAAGCUGUGGGUUAACACACUGCAUCCUUCUACCAAGGGCUAAUUCUCAUCCACUGUUCUACCCACCACCACAGAGUGCCUGAUACAGGGCCUACCUAGUGAAAACACCAUUAUGUGUGGACUUAAAGUAAGCUUUGAUGCACUCCAGGGACUUCAGUGGCUGGAGAUGUGUUGUCUGAAACAUACUUUAAAUGGAAGGAUGCAGCUUAAAAGUAAACAGACAAGAAAAGAUGAUCCGUAAAACCAGUAAUGGUGUCUGUGUCAAGCGAGCAGUCCUUUUACUAGAAACAAAUGGGGCCCAAUGUAAUGAUGAAAGAAUCAAUUCAUCAGAAAGCCUUCACCGUCAUGAGUACCUGUGCAUCUAAGACAGAGCUUCAGAUGAUACAAGUAAUAUAAUACAAGCUAAAAAUAGACACAAACAAAUCUACAAACAUGGCUAGAUUGAUAUAUUUUUUUCAGUAAUGGAUGAAACAAGUAACCAAAGAGUCAUGAAAUAGACAAACACCCAAACCCUGUGUCGACGCCAUCAACUGUAGACACAUCUACUUAGAUCUAAUUGAGAUUCAUCCAGAGAAAACAAUAUUUGUCAUCUCUGGAUUAAAUUAUUUGUGGAAUAUAAAUAAAAGGAGGCUGGGGUGUAGCUCGGUGGAGUUUUUAAUCUAGUAUGUUGCAGAACCCGAGUACCUCCAGUACCAAAAAUAAACCCACCCAAAAUUACAAGAAGAGUCACCAAAGUAGCCCAUAUAAUUGGGACAUAAAACAAAAACUGGUAAAUCUCAAAUACUAAAACCAUACAGCAAAUUCUCUGACCACCAUGGAUUAAAAUAGAAAUUGCUAACAAAAUAAAGCCCCGAAGAAUUCAUAUUAAGCAACAUCCAUGUUAAUACAAAUCAAUAAGGCCCAGCAAGAUGGCUCAUCAGGUUAAAGAGACAUGGCACCGAGCCUGAAGAUCUGAAUUAGAUCCCCGCAGAUCCACAGAGGA